This 468-nucleotide ribosomal RNA is filed under the name uncultured bacterium. Its description in RNAcentral is "partial 16S ribosomal RNA". It matches the Rfam family "Bacterial small subunit ribosomal RNA", at positions 28 to 507 of the family's 1533-position model. The record is from RNAcentral.
GACGAACGCUGGCGGCGUGCCUAACACAUGCAAGUCGAACGGAAAGGCCCUGCUUUUGUGGGGUGCUCGAGUGGCGAACGGGUGAGUAACACGUGAGUAACCUGCCCUUGACUUUGGGAUAUCUUCAGGCAACUGGUGCUAAUACCGGAUAGGAGCUCCUGCUGCAUGGUGGGGGUUGGACAGUUUCGGCGGUUGGGGAUGGACUCGCGGAUCAUCAGCUUGUUGGUGGGGUAGUGGCUUAGCAAGGCAUUGACGGGUAGCCGGCCUGAGAGGGGCACCUGCCCCAUUACGCCUGAGCUACGGCCCAGACUCGUACGGUAGGCAACGGUGGAGAGGAUUGUACAGCGGGCGGGAGCCUGAUGCGACGACGCCGCGUGGGGGAAGACGGCCAUGGGGUUGGAAAGCGCAUUUGCUUGAGACGAGGCGUUAGUGACGGUAACGGGUGAAGAAGCACCGGCUAACUACGUG